ACGCUGGCGGCGUGCUUAAUACAUGCAAGUCAACUUGACUUUAGAUAGCAAUAUCGAAAAGUAGGGUGGCGCACGGGUGCGUAACGCGUAGGUAAUCUGCCCUGAGGUCUGACAUAACCCGUCGAAAGGCGGGCUAACAUCAGAUGAUAUAUAAUCACGACAUCGUGGAAAUAUCAAACCUUCGGAGCCUUGGGAUGAGCCUGCGUCUGAUUAGGUAGUUGGCGGAGUAAUAGCCCACCAAGCCUACGAUCAGUAGCUGGUCUGAGAGGAUGAUCAGCCACACUGGAACUGAGACACGGUCCAGACUCCUACGGGAGGCAGCAGUAAGGAAUAUUGCUCAAUGGGGGAAACCCUGAAGCAGCAACGCCGCGUGAAGGAUGAAAUACUUUGUAUGUAAACUUCUGUAAGAUGGGAAAAAUAUUCUCCUCGGGAGAAUUGAUUGUACCAUCAGAGUAAGCCCCGGCUAACUACGUG
This 474-nucleotide ribosomal RNA is filed under the name uncultured bacterium. RNAcentral describes it as "bacterial SSU rRNA". It matches the Rfam family "Bacterial small subunit ribosomal RNA", at positions 33 to 507 of the family's 1533-position model. The record is from RNAcentral.